GUGAGAUCACGUGCUAGAUCAAAAUGGCGGAGUAUCUUCCAGAUCCUUUGAUUCUCGAUAUCCUGAGUCGACUCACCGAUUCCUCCGACAUAGCUCGGUGUCAAGUCGCCUCCAAAACCUUAAACUCUAUCGCCCAAAAUGUUCAACACAUUAAUCUGGUAUGUACGUUGUCUCGCUACCUAAAAUCUCGGUCACCGGAGGGCAGACACCGAGUCACACCGUUCAAGACGAUCUUUAGCAAACUCGUCCAGAAGUCGCGGCGGCUCGAGUCCAUAUCCAUCGGCGUGGACAAGGCGUUGGCGGGAAUCGCGUUCGACGACUUUGAGGACGAGUCUGAUGAUCUUUUCUUGACCGAUAUCGAAUUUGUGAAGGAUUGGUUGCCUAGGGUUUGUGAAGACUUGAGGUUUUUGUCUAUUUCUGACUUUUGGGUUCAAUCUUGUUGGAGAAAGACGGAGGUUUUGGCUUUGAUUUCUUCCUGCUGCCAUAAGCUUCUUGAACUUGAGGUGAGAAAUGCUUGGCUCUCAGUGGAUGGCGUAAAUCCAAUGCUCAGGCUAACUAGUUUAACAUUGGAAUUUAUAAGACUUGAAGAUGAGGACCUAAACAAGGUUAAUGAAUGUUUCCCUUGUCUACAAGAUCUCAAUUUGGUUGGAGUUGGAGGACUUAAAGACCCAAAGAUUCAUAUGUUGCACCUUAAAACAUGUCUAUGGACGGUAUCAAAUGCCCCCCUUUCUCUGUCUAUAGUUGCACCCAACCUAAUUGAACUGAAACUUAAAUGUAUAAAACCAAAACUCCUUGUUCUUGAAACUCCUUUGUUGUCUGAUUUCUAUCUAUCACUUGAAAAAGCGAGUAAUGUUAGAGUUAAAGAGUUUCAGAAUUUGCAGAACCUUCAGCUGGAAUCUUCGAGCUUCUGUUACAUCAUCGAUGCAUUUCCUUUGGGUAAUACAAUUAAGAAGUUAAAGGUGGACUUGUUGAAAUCGACUGAGCCUGAGACAAUCAGAAAGUUUGACCUGGGGGCAUUGUUCAAUGUCUUUCCAAAUGUGAAAUCUCUUACUUUGGGCCCUAGGGCUUGGUCACAAGUGGAGACCUGCUUUUGCAAAGAAGGUUUAGAAAAUCAGACUGGAAUGAAGGAGCUGACAGAAAUUAUGGCACACUUGGUUAUAGAUGAUAUUGAUGUAACAUUGUCUAUCAUAUUCUGCAUUUUGGAUAAAUGCACCAAUUUGUCUUCCGUGGCUUUGUUAAUCUACCGGGAAGUAGAUUCCAGCAUCGCUAAUAAGCUCAUAUCUAGAUGUACAGUUGAUCAUCCAAAAAUUAGAUGGAGAUGGGGCAUGUGGAAGGAAGGAACAGAAGACACCUGGCUUUCUGAUGACAUCUGAUUUUGCAACUCAAUUCUCUGAGAAGAAAAUGAAUGGGGCUUCUUCUGUUAGAGCUGCAUUAUAGGAGUUUGGGAAGAAUUGAAUGGUGUAGUGUUCUGCAAGCCUGAAUAUUUGUUGUGCAUUACAAUUGGUUGAAUUACAGUUUACCCGUUUUUGCAGGGGGGAGGGAAAGAAGAUCGUGCUGGAUUUGAGCUGAGUCGAGUUUAAGUUUGAGUUUGCUCGAAUUUAGCUCGGCUCUAAAGAGUUAAAACUCAAGCUCAAUACGAAGAGUCAAGCUCUUGUUCGAUUCAUUACUUUAGUAAAAUUAAAUUUAAACUAAGUUAUGUUUUCUAAUAACAUGGAAAGGAGUUGAUAUUUGAUAAGAAAUGAAUUGAGAAAGACUAUUUAUAAUAGGUUUGUUGAGUAGUACAUAUUACUUUCAUCUGUGUGGGACAGUAGAAUUGGGUUUAGUGUAUAUUUAUAGGGGUUGGAGUGAAUGAUUGAAUAUGUGCCUUUUCAAUGUGGGCAACAGAGAUUUGAAAAAGUCUCAUAUUGGAAAGACAUAUUCAAAUGCAUACUCUACCCAUUAUAAGUACAGGCUCAAAAUAUUCUAUUGUUCCACCUGUGAUAUGAAGUAAUGAUCCCAUUCAUUAUAGUCUUCUUCAUUUCAUUUUUCUUAGCAAAUAAACUUUUAUACAUGUUUUUUAUUAGAAAACAUAAAUUAAAAACAAUUUCUUAUAAUUAAAAAAUGGAAACUUUUCUCAAACUCAUGAGAAGCUUGAAUAUUUUUAAAACCAUAGAUUGAGCUCGGGUUUGAGCUAAAGCCAUAGCAACUCAUUCUAGGCUUGAUCUGUUGAGCUUGCCCGAAUCCAGCCCUAAGGGUAAAAAGGAAUCAAAGGUUGAGAUAUUAAUUUUUUUAGUCACAUUUUUAGUCGUCAAUAAAUAUCUAGUCACCAUUUUCUUCAACAUAUAUUUUUAGUCAUAUUUAUGUUUGAUUUCUUUUUAAAUAUGAAAGUUAUUUGGUUGGAUGUUUGAUCAGUUAGUCAAUGACUUUUUGCCAAAAAAAAAAAGCAAAAAAUGUGAUUGGUUGGCUGACUAAGGAUCUGGCCAACAACUUUCUUAGCAAAAAAUGGUUGAUUGGUUGGCUAAGUAUUCAAUCAAACAACUUUCAUUUUUAAAGGGAAGUCAAACAUAAAUGUGGGUAUAAAUAUAUACUAAAUAAAAUAAUUACUGGAUAUAUAUAAACGGUUGAAAAUGUGGUUAAAAUAACAAAUGACCCUCUAAAAGGGUCUUGAAUUUCUGAACUUGUAUAUCGUUAUGGAUUCUUAGUUGUUACCUUUCAUGUAUGUAGUCUCAUAGCUUUUUUUUUUAACUUUAAAGAGAGAAUAAUAACUUUUACACAUCAAGUAAUUAUAUUGCUUACAUUUGCUGAGGACUGCGUUUCUUUUUAUUCAAUUAUGUGAAUACAAAUUCAUAAUUUUC
RNA transcript from Mangifera indica (mango), 2834 nucleotides. It is a transcript of the gene named F-box/LRR-repeat protein At4g29420-like, with no coding region annotated. The record is from RefSeq and is a predicted model, not a curated record. The transcript has 3 exons. NCBI's taxonomy places the organism in Eukaryota, Viridiplantae, Streptophyta, Magnoliopsida, Sapindales, Anacardiaceae.